This 484-nucleotide ribosomal RNA is filed under the name uncultured bacterium. RNAcentral describes it as "partial 16S ribosomal RNA". It matches the Rfam family "Bacterial small subunit ribosomal RNA", at positions 30 to 507 of the family's 1533-position model. The record is from RNAcentral.
AUUGAACGCUGGCGGCAGGCCUAACACAUGCCAGUCGAGCGGAUGAAGGGAGCUUGCUCCUGGAUUCAGCGGCGGACGGGUGAGUAAUGCCUAGGAAUCUGCCUGGUAGUGGGGGAUAACGUCCGGAAACGGGCGCUAAUACCGCAUACGUCCUGAGGGAGAAAGUGGGGGAUCUUCGGACCUCACGCUAUCAGAUGAGCCUAGGUCGGAUUAGCUAGUUGGUGGGGUAAAGGCCUACCAAGGCGACGAUCCGUAACUGGUCUGAGAGGAUGAUCAGUCACACUGGAACUGAGACACGGUCCAGACUCCUACGGGAGGCAGCAGUGGGGAAUAUUGGACAAUGGGCGAAAGCCUGAUCCAGCCAUGCCGCGUGUGUGAAGAAGGUCUUCCGAUUGUAAAGCACUUUAAGUUGGGAGGAAGGGCAGUAAGUUAAUACCUUGCUGUUUUGACGUUACCAACAGAAUAAGCACCGGCUAACUUCGUG